CCUCUCCUCUCCACCUCCCCCACCGCCGCAGCCUCCCUUCCUCCCGUCCGCCGCCUCCUCCCCUCCUCUCCCCGCCUCGCCGGCGCCGUCUCCACUCUUCCCCGCCACCGCGACCCUCCCUCCUCUCCCCGCUCCGCUGCAUCCUCCUCCCCUCCUCACCUCAUCCCCACGCCUCCUCCCUCCACGGGGGCACUGCGUGCAACGGGGCCAGCGCAACGCCGAACGGAGGAGGUAUGGAGAGAAGGCUGUGGUCCUCGGCCGCGUCCUCGUCAUGGGCGGCGCACCUGCUCCUGGAGGUGUGCACGCGCGUGAUGUGCCGGUGGUGCGGCCAGAAGCUCCACCCCGUCAAGGUCAUCGAGUGCCGCAAGGGCUCCUCGUCCUCUUCCCCCACCGACUACAAGUACUACGUCCACUACACGGAGUGUAAGGACCCUCCCUGCCUCGCAUCCCAAUCCCAUCAGGAGGUUUCGUGUCUAGGGUUAGGUUUUGGGCUCUUACAGAUUUGGGGAAAUCUGGAUUUUACAGCUCAUUGGUCAAUUGGGUGUAGAGCCAUUCAAUUUAGGCCUUUUUGUGAUGAACUGAGCUUUCAGUUUUCAUUCCUUUGCACAUUUCAGCAAUGAUCAUCAGGUGGUUGAGAAUUUUAGUAUAAUCAGUCUCCUAUUCCUACCGACAAUUCUAAUUAGAAAUUGGGACCAGUCUCUUGUAAUAGCCACAGCCUGUUCGGAUAUUGGUUCCUUUAAGAUAUUAAUUUAGUUUGAGCUCUAAUGGUUAAUAUUAGUUUGUACCAUAGCCAUAUUUGUUAAUUCUAGCUGGGGCAUAUGACAACAAGUGUCUGACUGUAUUAUUUCAGAUGACUUUAACUGGGAAUCUAUUCAGAGUAUCUCACUAGAAGCCUUUCAUUCCUUGCAGAUUUAACUGGAAAAAGAAGUAAAGCUCCUGCUUUCAGAUAGUUUGUUACAGUUUUUCAGUAAUCAAAGUUGAUAGGUUGGAUUUCAGUAAUCAUCAUUUCCUGAAAUUAUUCAUUGAAUUAUUGAGAUUAUAUUUCCUGCUGUUCUCUAUAUCCAUAGAUUUAAUGCUCUUAUCUGAAUUACUAAUUUCAUCUGAUCUCUUGAUCAGGUAAACAACACAAUAAUAUGAUUCCCUGUUUUAAAAAACGUUUUAAAACUACGUUUAAUCUUGAUUAAACUCUAAACUUUGGCCUAGCAUUGCGUUCAAUCACAGUGUUGUUUAAUCACAAAAGACGUUUAAUCUACGUUUAAUCACAAAAAACUCUAAACCAUAGGCUAGCGUUCACCUAGCGUCUAGUGUUUUUUAAAACCUUGAUUAUGAUUGAAAUGGCAGAAACUCAUCCAUCCAAUAAAGCUCUGGUAAGAUAUAUAUUGUCCUCAUGUUUCUAGCAUGCGUUGGCAUCAUGGUAAGAUGCUUGAUUCAUAUAUACGAUAGAAAACAUGAUUUGAUUAAAUCUAAUUUUUGAACUAUCAAUCAAAAGCUCUGGCAGCAGGAUACAUCUCAUAUAUGUCGACAGUAGGCCUAAGAUGCAUUUCAUGCUUGUAUCAGGUGUCCACAUGAGAUGAGGACAUGUGUUGGCACUAUCCUCUGGUAUGUGGAAUUAUCGUGUGCUGCCAGCAGAGGACACAAGUCCUGAAUGGUUGCUCAUGCUGGUGAAUGGGCACCCAGCAGAGCAACUGGUGGAUGAAAAAGGUAAAGAGAGCCUCCUUGUCAUGGAGAGAAAGGAGGUAAAACAUCAUGAACAAACUGUACACAAGAGAUGGGUUCCACCCCUUACUGGUACUCUCAAAAUUAAUGUUGAUGUUGCCUUUAAACCUGAAAUAGAGGAUGUCGUAUUGUGGUUGUUGUGUGAGAUUAUGAAGGCCAUCCUAAACUCAGCCUGGUGGAUCCUGUUUCAUUGCAGGCAUGCCGAGGAAGCAGAAAUGGCAGCAUGCCUUGAGGGCAUCAGAUUGGCAGCGGGGUGGCCCAUUUCUUUUCCAGUAUUUCUUUUUUUUUUUGCCAGCAAAAGGGAGAGCAUUUUUCAUUUGUCCUUGUCUAUCAGUAAAUAGCAUUGGUCAUUUAAACUCAUAUAUAUAUAUAUACUGCCUAUUUACAUAAAUACAUGUAUGUCUACAUACAUGUCCAGCUCUGAUUUCCUCUAAACUCAUGUCUACAUACUUGUCCAUCUCAGCAAAAGAAUCCUAAUAUUCUUUUACACAUAACACAUAUAUAAUGUCUUAAGGUGUGAAUAACAAUCCAUUUGCUUUCGCUUGUGUCAGAUGGAUGACUAGGUGAACAUGUUUGAUUCGAAGCAAUUCUUGGGUGAAUUACCAGCUUUUAUUUCAAUAGUCCUUGAGAAGAUCACUUCCUUUCCUGGUUUGAAGAAAUGUACUACCAGAUUAGUUGAUCAAUUAACGGGAAGGGUUUAUUUCCUCAGCCUUACAACUAUUGGGGUCUGGUUGGGUUUGGGUUUGUCGUGAAGAGAAAUGAGAGAAAGCUUUCAGUGGUUCAUACAAGAAAUGCCAUCUCCCCACUUGCUUUGUACGAUAUUAUAUACUAGACUGUUUUUUCCCUUGAUGUAUACAGUGAAUUUGUAUGAGUUCAAUAGAUUAGGAUUGCAUUUGUAAUGUAUACAGUGGAUAAAAUAUGUGAUUUUGUGAUGUAAAGAAUGAUAAAAUAUGUGUAUAUAUGGUGUAUAUAAGGGUAUAUUUUGUUAUGCUUUU
This is a long non-coding RNA of Panicum virgatum (switchgrass), 2711 nucleotides long. RefSeq lists it as uncharacterized. NCBI's taxonomy places the organism in Eukaryota, Viridiplantae, Streptophyta, Magnoliopsida, Poales, Poaceae. The transcript is spliced from 3 exons. The record is from RefSeq and is a predicted model, not a curated record.